Molecule: long non-coding RNA, 725 nt
Filed under: Vigna radiata
Lineage: Eukaryota; Viridiplantae; Streptophyta; Magnoliopsida; Fabales; Fabaceae
Description: long non-coding RNA (VRAD_LNC016652)
Source: RNAcentral
GUAUUGUUUCCUGCAUACACAAGAAACAAACCCUAAAAGCACUUUUACAGAAAAAAAUAAAAAUACACCACAAAUAACAAAAUAAAGCAAAAACAAUUACAACCAAGUCAAAUUCAGUCAAUCCACACUACUAGAAAAAGUUAAACCUCGACUCCCCGGCAACGGCACCAAAAACUUGUUAACGAAUUGGCAAGCGUACCAAAUCGUUCAAGUAAUAAUAAAACGGUAAGUCCAAGUAUCGUUUCCCAAGAGACUCGAAAGGCCUUAUCGUUCACGUGAAUUAAAAGAGUAAGACUUGAAAAUAAAAAUUAAUUAAUUGNCCAAGUAUCGUUUCCCAAGAGACUCGAAAGGCCUUAUCGUUCACGUGAAUUAAAAGAGUAAGACUUGAAAAUAAAAAUUAAUUAAUUGGAUAUGACAACAAAAUAUAAACAUACAAAAGAGAAGAAAACAAUGGAUGAAUGAAGUUGUUGGGGGUUUACAAUUUCAUCUUAUCCGCUCUCUCUUAUUUAGUCCUCUUGAUUAAUUAGCUUGAUUAUCUAAUUGUCAUGCAACUUUCUUGGCCUACCCUUAACCUGAUCCCUCGGCGAGAAAAGCCUAUUACUAAUUACUGGCUUGCUAUCCCUAGCCUCCCCUAGCAAUUAAUAAUGCAUUAUAGAACAGAAGUGACAAACAAUUGACUGCCCUACCCCCUAUCCCUAGGUAGUAUUGCUUAAUCAAGGAAUUAC